AUCCUUGUUAGCCACUUGACUUAAAUUGUGUCCAAAUUCUCAUAUGAUCAUAGUUUACCCACUUUGUGCCUUAUAGCCUUUUUUUGAAUGAACCAAUGAAAAAUGGGUAGAACUUAGAUUGUUGGUGGUUUCUUUGAUGAAAAUGGUUGGAAGAUGAUUGAAAUUGCUUGUCAAACUUUGAUUGAGUGAAAAUCACUAGUCUCCUAUAAGCUAAAAAAAAAAAAAAAUGAAGAGACAUGUUGAAUAAAAGAGCAUAAAGGGGAGUGAUUUGCCUUUUGAAUCAUAGCCAUGACAAGUAUCACUAAGGGUGAAAAGAAAGAAAAGUGGGGAUAUUGGUUGAUUGAUUAGAAAAGAACAAUGGUGAAUAUGACAUAUUCAAUUUGGGAAUUGUAUGGGAUAUGAGUCACUUUGCCUAUAAACACCUCACCUCACCAAAGAGCUCUCAUUGCAACCUAAA
This 457-nucleotide long non-coding RNA is filed under the name Salvia miltiorrhiza (redroot sage). Its description in RNAcentral is "long non-coding RNA (SMIL_LNC008977)". The record is from RNAcentral. Lineage: Eukaryota; Viridiplantae; Streptophyta; Magnoliopsida; Lamiales; Lamiaceae.